GGAGAGGUGGCUGAGUGGUCGAAAGCACCGCCUUGGAAAGGCGGCAGGCGGGAAACUGUCUCGCGGGUUCGAAUCCCGCCCUCUCCG
RNAcentral lists this transfer RNA (87 nucleotides) under Patescibacteria group bacterium. RNAcentral's name for it is "tRNA-Ser". It matches the Rfam family "tRNA". From Rfam's summary of the family: Transfer RNA (tRNA) molecules are approximately 80 nucleotides in length. Their secondary structure includes four short double-helical elements and three loops (D, anti-codon, and T loops). Further hydrogen bonds mediate the characteristic L-shaped molecular structure. tRNAs have two regions of fundamental functional importance: the anti-codon, which is responsible for specific mRNA codon recognition, and the 3' end, to which the tRNAs corresponding amino acid is attached (by aminoacyl-tRNA synthetases). tRNAs cope with the degeneracy of the genetic code in two manners: having more than one tRNA (with a specific anti-codon) for a particular amino acid; and 'wobble' base-pairing, i.e. permitting non-standard base-pairing at the 3rd anti-codon position. The record is from RNAcentral.